RNAcentral lists this long non-coding RNA (5741 nucleotides) under Spirodela polyrhiza (greater duckweed). Its description in RNAcentral is "long non-coding RNA (SPOL_LNC000587)". Lineage: Eukaryota; Viridiplantae; Streptophyta; Magnoliopsida; Alismatales; Araceae. The record is from RNAcentral.
ACACUAUUGUCAGAUAUGAAUCUUCUGAGUGGAUCAAUCAGCUCCAGUUGUGGACUCAAUUCUACAAUAUGUGGUGCCAUCUCUUGGUGUAGGGUGUAGUGGGGUGUUUUCAGCUCCUACUUGAGCCCAACCCCAAAUCUAAGUGGGGAAUGUUUUGCUCAUUAUUAAGAAAGUUGUUACUUUUGUUGAAAGAAAGAGAAAAACAGACAGUGGAGGAGGAAUUUUCCUCUUUCUCGGCAGGCAGAGGGGAGGAGCGGGGGACCACCUUGAUUUUCAUUGACAUUUAUCACCCCUUAUAUUGGGAGAGAACAGUGCAUGAUCUUUUCCAAUACACCCUCAUACUACACAUUCUUGUGAUAAGUUUGGAUCAGUCAGUUUCCCCGUUCCGUACAGUCUUUUAGUGAGCAAGUACUUUCUUUAUUAGCGUAUGUUUUUCCACAAUACUUUAUUGUUAAUAUUAGAAUAACCAUUUUGGUAACGAACAAUCAUAAUCUUAAUUUCAGAAAAAAUCAUGAAUUUGAAAAUUCAGUGUUUUUAGAAAAAAACUUAAUUAAAAAAAUUGUUCUUUAUUUGUUCUUAUUUUUUUGUUUCGUUUUUAGUGGCAUGUCAAAAUAGUACAUGUGUUACAUAACUCAAAUGGAUAAUCUAUUCCCUUUUACCGCAAAAAUGAUCCUACCAUCAUCAUUGUGUGAGUUCCCAUACAUGGUGCAUCAUGAUUUAUAUAUCCUAACAACUUUUUUGUCAAAGAUGAUACAUUAGGGUUGGUUUAGCAUUCAAAUAAAUAGGUUUUUUGCAUAAUAACUUCUAAAUUCAAUCCAAAAUUCAAUCUCCUGUAGUUCCUCCUACUCUUAACGCCACUGUCUCUCUCUCUCUCUCAUGAUUUAUAUAUCCUAACAACUUUUUUGUCAAAGAUGGUACAUUAGGGUUGGUUUAGCAUUCAAAUAAAUAGGUUUUUUGCAUAAUAACUUCUAAAUUCAAUCCAAAAUUCAAUCUCCUGUAGUUCCUCCNNNNNNNNNNNNNNNNNNNNNNNNNNNNNNNNNNNNNNNNNNNNNNNNNNNNNNNNNNNNNNNNNNNNNNNNNNNNNNNNNNNNNNNNNCUCUCUCUCUCUCUCUCUCUCUCUCUCUCUCGCUCUCAAUCAGUAAGAGGAAGAAGAGAAAGAAAAUAUCUUAUUUCAUUAGGAGAAUAGUUGCCAUUUAUAUACGGGAUAUAACAGUUCAGUUCGGGUCUAAACAGGCCUGCUACAAGCAUCUGAAAAGAAAACAUAAUGACAUUCUUGUAGUAAAGGAAAAUUAUUUCUUAUUUAACACCCCCCCUCAAGUUGAUGCGUGGAUGUUAUCCAUGCCCAUCUUGUUGACUAGAUGUUGAAAUGCUGAACUAGGAGCCCUUUUGUAAAAAUGUCUACAAUCUGUUCAGAUGAUGGAACAUAUGAAAUAAUUAUAGCCUCAAUAUUCACUUUCUCCUUGAUGAAGUACCGACCAAUCUUGAUAUGCUUGGUUCUAUCUUAAUAUUCCAGAUUAUGAGAGAUAAAAAUAACAGACUUAUUGUCACAAUAAAGCUUGUUGUUAUUUUAAGAUACAUUCUCAAGUCUGCAAGGAUCCCUUUGAUCUAUAAGAUUUCACAUAUUCUUUGUGCUAAUGACUGAAAUUCUGCUUCAGCACUUGACCUAAAUAUCAUUGACUGUUUCUUACUCUUCCAUGUAACCAAGUUACCUCCAAUAAAUGUCCAAUAUCUUGUUGUCAAUCUUUGAUCAAUGAUACAUCCGAUGUAGUCUGUAUCUGUGAAGAUUUCUACAUCUCAACCCCACCUUUCUUGAAUAAGAGACCCUUUCCGAUGGAUAACUUAAGAUAGUGUAAUACUCUGUAGGCAGCUUGUAGAUGAAUUUCCUGGGGAUUGCUCAUAAAUUGACUGAGAAUACUGUAUAGGUAAUAUCAGGAUGUGAAUGGUUCAAAUAUAAUAGUUUGCCUAUCAAGUGUUGAUAAUGUCCUUGAUUUAUUGGAUUGUCCUCCUUAGCAGCUCCCAAUUUUACUCUUGAAUUUAUAGGAGUACAAGUUGGCCUACAUGUAAUUUUUCUUAUUUUCUUGAGUAUAUCAAGGAUGCAUUUGCAUCAACUCAAGAAGAUUCCUCGAUUUGAGUAUGCAACCUCAAUACUAAGAAAGUAGUGUAAUCUUCUUAGAGUCUUCACAUAAAAUUCUUUUGAUAUUCUCUUACAUAAUUAUCUUGCUUCCUCAUUGUCAUUACCCAUUACAAUUUUGCCAUCAACAUAAACGAGUAAUGGUGUCAUUCUUCUUGAAAGAUAAUGUUUAAUGAAUAGGGUGUGAUCUCCAUUGAUUUGCUUAUAAUUCAGGAGUUUGAGUUUCAUCCCUUGUAAAGCGAUCAAUUCAUGCCUUUGGUGAUUGUUUUAGACUAUAAAUAACUUUUUUCAGUUGAUAAACUAGAUUUCUUCCUUACAAGUUCCACUCAAAUCCAAGAGGUAAAUCUAUCUAAACCUCUUCAUCGAUUUCUCCAUGAAGAAACGUAUUUUUCACAUGAAACUAAUGAAUUGGUCAUCCAAAAUUAGUAGAGAGUGUUAUAAGUAUUUUGAUCGUUUACAGCUUGACUACUGGAGUAAAUGUCUCAUUGCAGUCAACACCAUAAAUUUGUGCGUAGCCUUUUGCUACUAGUUGAGCUUUAUAUUUGUCAAUUUCACCAUAAGGCUUAUAUUUUAUUGUGAAAACCCAUUUGCGACCCAUAGUUUUCUUUCCAGCAGGUAGUGGCAUCAAGUCCUAUGUUUUAUUUUCCUAUAAAGCUUUAAUUUUGAAGUCAAUAGCUUCUUUUCAUUUUCCAUUGGAUAAUGCCUCAUCUACGGUUUUUGGAAUUGGAGUAGAGUCUAGACUUGUCACAAAGUUUUAUAACUUGGUGACAAUCUGUUGUAGGACAUAAAUGAGUUCAAUGGGUAUAAAAUUAUUUUUGUGUGUGUUUUUGUCCCAUUGUGUGGAGCUAUAGGCAUUUCAAGUUUAGUGGCUUCUUCAUCCUCUUCUACUAGCUCAUCUUGUACCUCUUUAGAUUGGUCUUUAGAUUGAAUCAGUGGAUCAAUUAUGACAUCCUGCUGUGGCAGCCCCUGGGUAAUUCUUGGUCUCCCUUGAUCUUCCUUCAUUCCGUUUGACAUAGAUUUGAAUAGAUUCAAGUACCUUCUUUUUUGUGUUUCCAUGAAAUGAUACCUUGCUGAAAGUGGGAAUUGAAAUGUCAAAGUCACUUGGAUUUAGAAUAUCUCAUCCAAUAGGAUUCACAAGACUAUCUAGAGUAUAUUGUUCAAAGAACAUUUUAUGUUCAGUAAACGUCACAUUUGCUGAUGUGUAGAAUUUUUGGCUAUGUUGAUGAUAGCAACGAUAACCCUUUUGUGUUGAGGAGUAUCUCACAAAUAUACACUUAAUUGCUUUGGAUCCAACUUGUCCUUUUGUUGAUUGUGUAAAUGCACAUAUACUAUGCAUCCAAAAAUUUUUGGAUUCAAAUUUUUUUUGUGGUUCACUUCUUGAAAGUGGUGACUCAUUGUGUCUAAGGGACUGAUAUAAUCUAGAAUUCUAGACGACAAUCUAUUUAUCAAGUGGACUGUAGUCAAGGUUACCUCACUCCAAUAGGUUUUAAGAGUCUUGGCUUGAAACAAUAGAGAUCUUGUAGUCUCUGACUAUGGCCAAUUUUCCAUUCAGCCACUCCAUUUUGUUGUGGAGUAUAAACAUAGAAAGAUUCAUAAAUUAUGCCUUCUUUUUAAAAAUAUAAGUCCAUUGACAUAUUAAAGAAUUUCCUAGUAUUAUCAGAUCUGAAUCUCUUCACCUUUACUUCAAAUUGAGUUUUAAUCAUUGCAAAGAACGACUGAAUUAUAUAGCCACCUUUUUAUUUAUGUUUAAGAAGAUAUACUCAUGUAAAUUGAGCGUAGUCAUCAACAAAUAUUACAAAUCAUCGAGUAUUUGAUAUGCUGGAUAUUGGAACAGGGCCCCAUACAUCACUAUAGACUCAUAAAAUGGAGUUUUACUCUUCUCACUUGAAUUUCCAAAACAUGCCCUUUUUUGUUUUGCAAAUUAAUAAGCACCACACCCAAGAUGUUUUAUGUCCAUUCCCUUAAACAAUAUAGGGAAUAAACCUUUCAAAAUAGUAAAAGAUGAAUGCCCCAAACGAUAAUGAAAGGUCCAUAGUUUCUUUUGAGCUGAGGCAUCAAUUUCACCCGUAAUCAGAGAUGCCGAUGUAGGAGAGGUGGCAAUCUUCAGAUACCUCAGCCCAUCUUAUUCCUCAACUGGUCCAAUCUUCUGGCUUGUCACCUUGUUGAACAGAAAAUAAUCAUUAUGAUCAGUAAUAAAAUGACAUCUCACAUCUUUUACCAAUUUCUGAUGUGAUAUAAGAUGAGCUUUAAGUAAAGGCGCAUGAAGGAUAUUUUUGAUGAUCAAGAUAUGAUGGAGAUAGAGAUCUUCAAUUCCAACAACAUAUAACAAUUUGUUUUUUGUUGUGAAAUUUGUUCUAUUUCCUUCACACUUCGUAUAAGUUUGAAAUUUGAAGCCAUUGAAGUCAUAUGUUCUGUCGCACUAGUGUACAAUGCCCAGAAAAUGUAAUCUUGAGUAUUUUGAAACAAGUAAGCCGUAAGAACAUGUUAUCUCACCUGAGCGUGUUAUAAAAGUAGAACCCAACAUAGAUUUUAGUUUCUCCAUCUUUUCCUUUAGCUUCGCAGGAUCUUUAUUUUUGUUAGAAGUGAAAGAAUAUAUAUUCUCAGAGGUACUUUAUGGAGUCACAAUGGCUCCAGCUGGUUGAUCAGUGGUAACAUGAGCUUGUCCUUGUUGAGAAGGCCUUCCAUGUAAUUUCUAACAUGUUUGACGUGUGUGUCUCUUUCUUCUGCAGUAUUACACCAGGGAUUAUCUCUGGGGUCUGGUUUUACAAGCUUGCUUUGGGAGAGAACUAUUUCACUAGGAGUAGAGUUUGAUGUUGGAUUAUGAUGUGUUGAUAUCGAAUUUGGUUAUCUUGCUUUAGUUAUAAAUGCAUCUGUCUCCAUCUUGGAUUUGACAAUAAUACAAAAUCUACUUUCUUCUUGUAUCACAAUCUCAAUCGACUCUUCUAGAGUUGGCACCCUUUCCCUGUCCAAUAUCUGACUUCUAAUUGUUUCAUGAUCAACAUUCAAUCUCACGGAUUUUUCACGGGAUGAUAGUAAUCUAUUUCCUGCCAAAUCACUUUCAGUUCCCUUGCAUAUUCCAUGACACUUUUAUUUCCUUGUGUCACAUUCAUCACCUUUGUCACAAGAUGGUAUAUAUGUCAAUCAUCAAUAGUCUUUGAUCAACUAACAUGAACUUCAUCCCAUAACUUUUUUACAGUUGGCAUGAACAAGUAGUUUGAAUAUACAUCCAAGGUCAUUGUACUUGACAACGACAUAUAUAAAAUUGCUUCCUCCUCAUUCCUUGUAUUAUAGCAUGGAUCUUCUAGAUCAGGAGGUGAUUCAGUCAGAUGUUUGGCUUGUCUUCUUCCUCCCAAGAUAAGCUCCACAAACUGCUCCAGUGAUAAAGAUUUUUUCCGUCGAAUUUUGAUUUCUCAGGAAUCAAAAGAAGAUUCAGAUACCACGUCAUUUUCCACAGAGGUAUUGCCUGAUUUAAGCUGAGUGUAAACGGAGGUGGUCCCUGAGCUGUCCAUCUUGAUCAAGGAGUAUAAAAUUCCUUAAUCCACCACUUCUUGGUAAUGUUUGCUGUCAAGACAAGCUGUGCAUCCCCGUUUUUCUUUCCUCGUCUUUCUUG